This 89-nucleotide transfer RNA is filed under the name Nitrososphaerota archaeon. RNAcentral's name for it is "Thaumarchaeota archaeon tRNA-Asp". It matches the Rfam family "tRNA". From Rfam's summary of the family: Transfer RNA (tRNA) molecules are approximately 80 nucleotides in length. Their secondary structure includes four short double-helical elements and three loops (D, anti-codon, and T loops). The record is from RNAcentral. Lineage: Archaea; Thermoproteati; Nitrososphaerota.
GCCCUGGUCGUAUAGAGGGUCAACCGUACCACGGUCUAGUAUGCGAGACUGUCACUCUCGUGACCCGGGUUCGAAUCCCGGCCAGGGCG